This 1498-nucleotide ribosomal RNA is filed under the name uncultured Rubrobacterales bacterium. RNAcentral describes it as "bacterial SSU rRNA". It matches the Rfam family "Bacterial small subunit ribosomal RNA". Lineage: Bacteria; Bacillati; Actinomycetota; Rubrobacteria; Rubrobacterales. The record is from RNAcentral.
GCCUAACACAUGCAAGUCGAGCGAGAACCGGAGCUUCGGCUCCGGGGACAGCGGCGAACGGGUGAGUAACACGUGGAUAACCUGCCCUCGGCACCGGAAUAGCCCGGGGAAACCCGGAUUAAUGCCGGAUUGCCCCACAUCCCUGCGGGGAACGUGGGAAAAGGUAGCUUCGGCCUCUGGCCGAGGAUGGGUCCGCGGUGGAUUAGCUUGUUGGUGGGGUAAUGGCCUACCAAGGCGACGAUCCAUAGCUGGUCUGAGAGGACGAUCAGCCACACUGGGACUGAGACACGGCCCAGACUCCUACGGGAGGCAGCAGUGGGGAAUCUUGCGCAAUGGGCGAAAGCCUGACGCAGCGACGCCGCGUGCGGGAAGAAGGCCUUAGGGUUGUAAACCGCUUUCAGGAGGGACGAAGCCACUCGGGUGAAUAGCCCAGAGGGUGACGGUACCUCCAGAAGAAGCCCCGGCUAACUACGUGCCAGCAGCCGCGGUAAUACGUAGGGGGCAAGCGUUGUCCGGAUUCAUUGGGCGUAAAGAGCGUGUAGGCGGCCAGGUAGGUCGGUUGUGAAAACUGGANGCUCAACCUUCAGAGGUCGACCGAAACCAUCUGGCUAGAGUCCGGGAGAGGAGAGUGGAAUUCUGUGUAGCGUGAAAUGCGCAGAUAUCAGGAAGGACACCCGUGCGAAAGCGGCUCUCUGGACGGUACUGACGCUGAGACGCGAAAGCGUGGGGAGCGAACAGGAUUAGAUACCCUGGUAGUCCACGCCGUAAACGAUGGGCGCUAGGUGUGGGAGGUGUCGACUCCUUCCGUGCCGCAGCUAACGCAUUAAGCGCCCCGCCUGGGGAGUACGGCCGCAAGGCUAAACUCAAAGGAAUUGACGGGGGCCCGCACAAGCAGCGGAGCAUGUGGUUUAAUUGGAUGCAACGCCAAGACCCUUACCAAGGCAUGACAUGUUCGGGAAAGCUGGAGAAAUUCAGCCCUCCUUCGGGACCCGAUCACAGGUGGUGCAUGGCUGUCGUCAGCUCGUGUCGUGAGAUGUUGGGUUAAGUCCCGCAACGAGCGCAACCCCUGUCCCAUGUUGCCAGCGAGUAAAGUCGGGGACUCAUGGGAGACUGCCGGUGACAAAUCGGAGGAAGGUGGGGAUGAUGUCAAGUCAUCAUGCCCCUUAAGUCUUGGGCUACACACGUGCUACAUUGGCCGGUACAAAGGGCUGCAAUACCGUGAGGUUGAGCGAAUCCCAAAAAGCCGGUCCCGGUUCGGAUUGGAGGCUGCAACUCGCCUCCAUGAAGGCGGAGUUGCUAGUAAUCGCGGAUCAGCAACGCCGCGGUGAAUACGUUCCCGGGCCUUGUACACACCGCCCGUCACACCACGAAAGUCGGCAACACCCGAAGCCGGUGGGCUAACCCCUUGUGGGAGGCAGCCGUCGAAGGUGGGGUCGAUGAUUGGGGUGAAGUCGUAACAAGGUAGCCGUACCGGAAGGUGCGGCUGGAUCACCUCCUU